GGAAGAGUGGUCUGGUGGUUAGGACGCUACCCUAGGAAUCUGGAAAUGUGGGUUCAAUUCCUUUCUCUACCA
Molecule: transfer RNA, 72 nt
Filed under: Chelonia mydas (Green sea turtle)
Lineage: Eukaryota; Metazoa; Chordata; Testudines; Cheloniidae
Rfam family: tRNA
About the family: Transfer RNA (tRNA) molecules are approximately 80 nucleotides in length.
Source: Rfam by way of RNAcentral